AGUAAAAGUCGUAACAAGGUUUCCGUAGGUGAACCUGCGGAAGGAUCAUUAUUGAAUUUCAAGAGGGAUUGGUUGUUGCUGGCUUUUCGAAGUAAUGUGCACACCGUCUCCUCUUAGUUCUCACAUUCACCUGUGCACCUCUUGUAGACCCGAGACAAACUUAUCGAGGAAACUCGGAUGUGAGGGUUGCGGGCUUCCUCAGAAGUCGGCUUCCCUCUACUGACUCGCGUGUCUAUGUCUUUACAAACCCUUUAUAAAAAAUGUUAACAGAAUGUCAUACAACGGUUCGCCCUAAAAAAGUGAGCUUUAAAUUAAUACAACUUUCAACAACGGAUCUCUUGGCUCUCGCAUCGAUGAAGAACGCAGCGAAAUGCGAUAAGUAAUGUGAAUUGCAGAAUUCAGUGAAUCAUCGAAUCUUUGAACGCACCUUGCGCUCCUUGGUAUUCCGAGGAGCAUGCCUGUUUGAGUGUCAUUAAAUUCUCAACCUUCCUUGUCUUUAUUGAUGAGGUAGUGCUUGGACGUGGGGGUUGCGGGCUUCCUCAGAAGUCGGCUCUCCUUAAAUGCAUUAGCGGAACCUUUGUGGACCGUCUAUUGGUGUGAUAAUUAUCUACGCCAUCGACGCGGACGCUGUUAUAUGGGGUUCAGCUUCUAACCAUCUCGCAAGAGAUAACAACUUAAUUGACAUUUUGACCUCAAAUCAGGUAGGACUACCCGCUGAACUUAAGCAUAUCAAUAAGCGGAGGA
This 744-nucleotide ribosomal RNA is filed under the name uncultured fungus. Its description in RNAcentral is "eukaryotic LSU rRNA". The stretch from base 319 to 472 matches the Rfam family "5.8S ribosomal RNA". Lineage: Eukaryota; Fungi. The record is from RNAcentral.